UACGAACUGUGCGAACGUUAUUCGGAAUCACUGGGCUUACAGGGUGCGUAGGCGGCUAUUCAGGUCAGGUGUGAAAGCCCUCGGCUCAACCGAGGAACUGCGCUUGAAACCGAAUGGCUCGAGUCAGCUAGAGGUACACGGAACUUCCAGUGGAGCGGUGAAAUGCGUAGAUAUCGCUUGGAACGCCGAAGGUGAAAACAGGCUGCUGGGGUUGCGCCGACGCUGAGACACGAAAGCCAGGGGAGCAAACGGG
This 253-nucleotide ribosomal RNA is filed under the name uncultured bacterium. RNAcentral's name for it is "partial 16S ribosomal RNA". It matches the Rfam family "Bacterial small subunit ribosomal RNA", at positions 524 to 776 of the family's 1533-position model. The record is from RNAcentral.